Molecule: long non-coding RNA, 485 nt
Organism: Cyprinus carpio (common carp)
Lineage: Eukaryota; Metazoa; Chordata; Actinopteri; Cypriniformes; Cyprinidae
Exons: 3
Source: RefSeq, a predicted model, not a curated record
AAAAUGUAAAGAGGACUCUCAGAAAAUAUGUUAAUCAGCACCAUGAUGAUUGGGACAUCCACCUGCAGGCCAUAGUUUAUGGAAUAAACACUGCAAAACAGAGAUCCACCAAGUACAACCCGUACUUUUUAAUGUACAAUAGGCACCCCCGUCUACCACAGGCAUUAAAUGUCUGUGAGACAGACAGUACCUUUGAAUUGGCGGACCCAGAGGAGGAGCUGGAGCUAAAACUAGCUGGAGUCAAGGCCCUCAAUGAAACGGUACGGAAAAACAUUGAAAAGGCACAGGGGAAACAAAAAAAGGCUUUUGAGGCAAAGAAAAAGGAAAGGGGUUCGCCAGUGCUCAGUUAAGGCAGGGGACGAGGUCCUAAUUGGGGAGCCCAAAAAGAAGGUGAAAAAGGGAAAUUGUUUGCAGGAUCUACACCAAGGGCCAUUCACACUCACAUCCCUGACAGAGAAGGGUGUGGCAAGUGUGGCUAUGUUAGG